GGAGAUAAUCCGGUUGGAUGAGGGAGCUGGUUGGAAACCAGUUGUACUCCUAUUAUGGGGUAUUGGGGGUUCGAAUCCCUCUGUCUCCG
Molecule: transfer RNA, 89 nt
Filed under: Microscilla marina ATCC 23134
Lineage: Bacteria; Pseudomonadati; Bacteroidota; Cytophagia; Cytophagales; Microscillaceae
Rfam family: tRNA
About the family: Transfer RNA (tRNA) molecules are approximately 80 nucleotides in length.
Source: Rfam by way of RNAcentral